Molecule: long non-coding RNA, 1918 nt
Organism: Grus americana (Whooping crane)
Lineage: Eukaryota; Metazoa; Chordata; Aves; Gruiformes; Gruidae
Exons: 4
Source: RefSeq, a predicted model, not a curated record
AGGCUCAGAUUUGAAUACCACAUGUGCCAAGGUAAAAACAUUGUGGAGGAAUACAAGCCAGUGAGCAAACCAGAUUAGGCAGAAACUAUGUGAUGAAGACAGAAAAGAAAUUAAGGUCUGAGCCAGAAUGAAGGAUCUCUGAACCUUGGGGCUGUUUCCACCUGAAUCUCUAGGCUGAGAAGGGUCUCUGUAACCAUUGCCGUACCGCAGGACAGAGAUCAACCUUUUAACCUUGGGUUCACGGGGGAGUGAUUUAUAGUGGCAUUGGCACUGCUGGAGACACGUCCGCUCAGGAGCUGGACUCUGCUUUCAGGCCCUCCGUCCACAGGAAAAAGCGUGCUCUGUUCCUCCGCUGGAUGUUAUCUGUGCCUGGGCUGUGUAUUCGUAGCAAGCUCCAGCGAGUGAUUUAUUUCCUACUGACUGUCAAAGAGGAAGGAUUAUAUCAAGACGCUGAUUGCUGAACUGUCCUGAUUGCUUCAUUACCGGCAUUUUGGAGAGGAAGCCUGGGUACUGGUAGCCUCAGGAUUGACAGUCUCUAAACAUGCUGAAAAGGACAGGGGAGAGAGGGAUUUUCUUGGCAGCGUGAUAGGAAUUGGGCAGUUCCUCUGACAACAAACUACUGUUGAAGGAAAACUGAAAAUGGUUGUAAUUGAAGAGGUUGCCUAGAGAAGCUGUGGAAUCUGUCGCUGAAGGUUUUCGGGACCUGACUGGGCAAAGUCAUAAGAAACCUCACCAGGAGGCUGUUUAGGUGCCUCCCAAGGCCCCUUCCAGCCUCAGUGGUUCUGUGAUUUCACAAACCUUGAACCUCGGCAAUGUGAUGGCAAUGUGCUUUCGAAAACUUGGUUUAAAAAUACAGCACUGGGGAUGAUAAUGCCAGGUCAAGAUUGGCAGUAUGUCAAAUGCUUUAGGUGAGAUGGGAUAUUUAUUUGCAACCUCCACACCAUGAUGAAAGGAGCUCGUUUUUGAUGGCAGUGCUGUACAUCUGUCAAAGAAAUCCCACCGCAUUGUUUACUGUGAGUAGAUAGCGCAUGUGUACAUUGCAGUACACCUCUACAAUACGUAUUCAUAAAGAAUGCUCUUAGUAGAGUAAUGUUCGUUUAGGCAUUAUCUGAACUCAUAGCAAUGUGAUAAGCUCUGUGACGCUGUGGAUCUCCUCCUCUCCAUCCCUCCAGCAGAGCCUGCAGGCUGCCACAGAAAUGGGCAGGAAAUUUUCUCAAUGGGCAAAGUUCUGCUUUUUUGAGAAGAAUUGUGUCUCUGUUUGUCAGGAUUCAAUUUAUCAAAAGCUGUAGUAGACACUAAAUGGCAUGGUGGCUAUUUACUAGGUAGCAUGCAGAGGGAGAUAGUAAAAGCUAUGCACACAAAAUGAGAAGGCUGUUGUGCAAACCAGAGCACAGCUGCAUAUCUACCAAGUGUAAAUGCUGAGGUUAGUGGUUUGGCUCAGUGGACCUUUAGAUUUGAGCUACCAUCUUCUUUCCAGAGUGAUGUUUGACUGUCCACCAGGAAUAAGUAGUGUGGAGGAAAACCUCAUGUUUCUCUGUGCCCAUGUUCCCAUUGCAAGGUAUCCUACUGGCUUCUUGGCUCUGGCCUCUUUGGAAAGGUGCCGUCUUUCUAGCGGUGGCUGCCACUUGCUAGUGAUUGCUACUGGAACGGUUGCUCUCCAAGCACCCCUGCAACCAAGAUUUCAUUUUCAUGCAUGUUCCUGCCAUGCCUGCCUACAAUUAAAGCUGAGCAGCCGGUUAGAGCAUCAGCAAAAGUCUGUGAAUGCCAGUGCUGCAAUAUUCAGUUGCCUGCAUGAAAUAAAACAGUCAUUUUGAAUACGUGAAUCUUCUCCUGUGGUUUACUUGACACAAUGUCAGUAUUAGCUCAGUUCUGCUGUUGUCACCUUCUAAUGUGAUUCUGUGCCUUGUGAAAUUAUGCA